UUCAAUCGUUUUCUUCAUUUGUUCUCAUUGGGACAAAAAUUAGCCAAAAAUUAACCAAAAAAAUAAAAAAAAGGGAAAAAGGAAAUCAUACCUGAAAUGGCGAUAGCCAGCUGAGAAGUGAAAAAAUAGCAUUAAAUUGAUGAAGAAUGCAUAUGGACCAAAAAUCGGGAAUGCCAAUAUAAUCGGAAAAUUGAAAGAGGGGAUGAGGCUCAAGAACAAUCCAGAAGCAGUUGUCUGCUAAAGGAAGAACAAAGAGUAUUUGCUGGAAUACCAAAAAUAUCCUUAAUUCAUAUCACUGAAAUUACUAUUAUAUCCUUGGUCGUCCAUCUCUUCAAGUUUGAGUCUAUGUUGCAGUAAUUUUGUACAUAUGCAGGUUCAGUUUGUUUGAUUUAAGGACAAAUAUUCUAUAUCGACGGUCAACUUUCCUUGAUAAAUAAAGACCAACAUUUCUGCUCCAUGGCGUGCUCGGAUUGUAAAAUGCCAUUUUUAAGAACUGCUUCACCAAGGCCAAUCUACUGUAUCCAAUGCGAAAGAUCCACUCAACUUAUUCCCAGAAUCCAAUUUGAAGUUAAGGUCACGGAUCACACUGGUAGCACAGUAGCCUCCAUCUCGGAUCAAUCAGCAACAAAGAUGUUGAACCUCACUGUACAAGAGAUUUAUGACAUCUGCCAUGCACAGAGAAAAACACUACUUCUUGACAAUGCGCAUAAACAAUUAGGAUCAAAGACUUUCAGAAUCCAAAUGAAAAGAUUAUUUUCCAAACAUCAAGACAGGCUAGCUAUCACAAAUUAUGAGGAAAAAGAGCCUACCAACCAACCAUUACCAAUUGCACCAAUGACCAACACUGCUGAAGCAAGCAAGCGCAAGGCUAUGGACAUUGGCUUUGACCGAACACAUCAGCAGAACCUGCCCACCAAAGACAGACCUUCCAGCACUAGACAGAAGACAGAAAGCAAGACUUCUCUCAAAAGGGAGUGAAAGCUACUGGAAAUGUUUUGCCAACAAAUUUUUGGAGCACAUCUUUUUGCCAAUGCACUGUCAAACUACUAUCUUUUUGCCGUAAGACUGCCUUUUUGAAAAGCUACAUCAACCAUAUGUGACGCCCCAUACUUUAAAAAGGUAUUUUGUCAACCAUGACGUCCACAACUACAACAUGCAUGAUUGCUACUAAAAAAUACUUUUUCUGUAAAUAUGUGCUAUAAAUGAUGUACAUAUGACAGUGCAACUUAUUGUAGUUGUCUUAUACUAUCUUACCGUAUUACUUACGAUAAUCUUCUUAUUGUUGGAUGUUUUAAAUCAUCACUCUUAAUUAAUGUCAAAAUUUCCAUGUUUCUUAAAUAUCUUCAAGAAAGUAAGUAAUCUUAAUUUA
Lycium barbarum (goji berry) is the source of this 1369-nucleotide long non-coding RNA. RefSeq lists it as uncharacterized. The record is from RefSeq and is a predicted model, not a curated record. NCBI's taxonomy places the organism in Eukaryota, Viridiplantae, Streptophyta, Magnoliopsida, Solanales, Solanaceae. The transcript has 7 exons.